This is a long non-coding RNA of Dunckerocampus dactyliophorus (ringed pipefish), 1207 nucleotides long. RefSeq lists it as uncharacterized. NCBI's taxonomy places the organism in Eukaryota, Metazoa, Chordata, Actinopteri, Syngnathiformes, Syngnathidae. The transcript has 3 exons. The record is from RefSeq and is a predicted model, not a curated record.
UAAAUACAUGUAUUACUCCAUCGCUAAAUACAUAGGUUAAGCCAGACUGUCCCUGCCAGGAUUUAUAUUCACAGAAUACAUUCUGCAGAGCAGAGCAGGGCAGAGGCCAGUCAGCGUGCGAGGGACUUGAGUGUGAUCAUUUGGUGCCCCUCCUUGGGUGGGCAGUGGAGUAAGAUCUCACAGAGGAGUUCCUAAGGGAAGGGAAACCGCACCAUUGGCUCGACUGCGGCUUCUCGUGUGCACGCUGGACUCUGUGAGCUCCUCGCCGUGCUCUUCCGACUUCUUAUCGGCGAUGGUGGCCAGGAAGCGCAAUGUGACCGAGUCCCACUCCUCUGGAAGCAGCAAGAGCAGGAAGCCCAGGCAGAUGACGCAGGUGGCGGCCAGACGCACCACGCUGAAGAUCACCUCAUGCUUCAGAACAUCUACAGCUAUGGGAAGCAACGACAGAGGGGCGGCACGCUAAGUAGCGUUCCUAUGGAUAUGAGAAUAGGGUAUGUGAGCACCACACCAACAUGAACCAGGAUGUUGAACACUGUAAACGACAAAACAGAAAGUAAGUAUGUAAUUAGAGCUGUGAUUGAACGUAAAUUUGCACCAUUCCUACUGCAUAAACCAUUGGGAGUAUACUCACCAAGCCACAGUCCUGCUAGGCCACAUAGGUACCCCCACGGCAGCGAGGACAGUGAGCCCCAUUGCUCCACUUUGGUGAAAUACAGGAUGAGGGGCACACAGGAGAUGAAGAUGAGGUUGAAGAAACCCAUGGUGGAAAGAAAAUGAGCCACCUCGCCGAGACUGGCACUGCCCAGGAACAUCUUGAACAGCACCUGGAGGGCCAGAAGACAAAACUCCACAGUCAACACAUCAAUUGCUUCAAACACUUGUGUUUGGUGGUCUCACCUUAUAAAGAGCUGAUGUUGAAGCUGAGCCCACAGCUAAUGCCACGCCAACAAAGGAAUCACCACGGAAACCAUCAGCAUAUGCCAUCAUGACGAUACCUGUGAUGGCCAUGAUGGCAGCCACAAUCUAAAGAAAUAGUUAAUGAUACCUUUUACUAUGAGUAUGUCUGUGUCUGUCUUAAGCAAUCAUGCUGUACAUACCCGCACACCCAUGAAGCGGUCCUUGAGGACAAUCCAGGACAAAAGAAAGACAAAGGCCUUGUGGCAGCAGUAAAGGGCAGAGACAUCAGUGGCGGUCAGCUUUUUCAAGG